CAUGAUAGGUGAUAUUUUUGUAUAUAAUACAAAAAUAGGCCCAAUAUUUUUGUAUAUGACAAAAAACAAAAAUUAUGCAUCGUAUUGAGAUUGAAAUCACAAAAUCAAGAUUUGUUAACUACAAUUGAAAAUGAAAAAAUGAGGAAAUAUGAAUUCAUAGCAAAUGCAUUGAGCAUGAUGUAUAAGUGCCAAGUAAAGAUAAUUAAUUCCCUAUGUGAUGACUUGGGAUGGUAUUGCAAAAACUUACCACAAAAAUCAUAUCCAAGCUAUGGAUUUGCUCCUAAACAUAGAAACAUACAUCCAGAGUCUUAUCCUUAAGAAAAUUUUAGAAAACAUCAUCUUUGAAAAGAGAGAAGGAUUUGUCCAAGAGGAUGUGGAAGAUGAUGUUGAAAAGGUAUUGAAAUGGCUAGAGAUAAUUAAAGUGAAUGAGUGCUAAGAGAGUGUUGUAAAAGUGAAACAACAGGACCCUAUAAUUAAAUUAUUAAUUAAACAACAAAAG
RNAcentral lists this long non-coding RNA (499 nucleotides) under Androctonus crassicauda. The record is from RNAcentral. Lineage: Eukaryota; Metazoa; Arthropoda; Arachnida; Scorpiones; Buthidae.